AAAAACAUUCCCCGACCCAAAGUCCACCUCAUUGCUGCUCUAAUCUCUCACUCUCCUCAUUUCCUUCUCAACAUUAUAACUUGCCGAAAUUUCUAUCGGAGAACUCGCCGAAAAUGGUGGAGAAUCUUCAUAUUUGUCACCUCGCAGUUUCUCUUCCCGUUUCUCUAUAUCUACACAUAUUUAUACACAGAUCUGGAGAAAUAUAUACAAGAGGUCAAAGAUCCAAAUAUUUUGGUUCGGGAUUUUACUGGAUCUUGUCAUGAAUAUAUUUUUCUGGCGAGUUAUUAUUUUAUUUAUCACAUCCAGAGACGAAAGAGAUAGUUAAAACUCCGACCAUCUAUUUUUUUAUAGCUCUGGCGAACCUCCGACGACUUCUGACGCUAUACUGUUGCCUCAUCCUUUGUUUCUUAUGUUUCUCACUAACAAGUGAACUUGCAUAAUUAGGGGGAGAUUUUUUUAUUUGGUACACUGAUCAUCUUUAUAUAUUUUUCCACUCAAUAGAAAGGGCUCUUUUAGAAUUGGGAUGUGAUGUUCAUCCUCAUGAAGCUCUAUUUCUUUUUCAUUUAAGGUAUCGUUCUUGUAUAGGCUAAAUUUGGCUCAUAACGUCCCCACGCCAGGUGAGCACGUCCCCAUAAUAAGGUCGCUCCAAGUAAGAGUGCGGCCCAAAUCAGUAAAGAAGGAACAACGUCGUUUAGUACCUGCCCCUUUUACUGAGUGGAAGCCACCAACCUUUGUACUUUUUUUACUUUCAUUUAUUUAUUGGUUCGAGGAGAUUUCCUACGAUAAAAAGGAAACAUUCCCUUUGUAAAAGGGGAUCAUGAUUAUUCUCGGAUAAUACAAUCUCUAUUUCUAUUUCUCUCUA
Molecule: long non-coding RNA, 862 nt
Filed under: Nicotiana benthamiana
Lineage: Eukaryota; Viridiplantae; Streptophyta; Magnoliopsida; Solanales; Solanaceae
Description: long non-coding RNA (NBEN_LNC036026)
Source: RNAcentral